ACUCCUACGGGAGGCAGCAGUGGGGAAUAUUGGACAAUGGGCGAAAGCCUGAUCCAGCAACGCCGCGUGAGGGAUGACGGCCUUCGGGUUGUAAACCUCUUUCAGCAGGGACGAAGCGCAAGUGACGGUACCUGCAGAAGAAGCACCGGCUAACUACGUGCCAGCAGCCGCGGUAAUACGUAGGGCGCAAGCGUUAUCCGGAAUUAUUGGGCGUAAAGAGCUCGUAGGCGGUUUGUCGCGUCUGCUGUGAAAGACCGGGGCUCAACUCCGGUUCUGCAGUGGGUACGGGCAGACUAGAGUGCAGUAGGGGAGACUGGAAUUCCUGGUGUAGCGGUGAAAUGCGCAGAUAUCAUGAGGAACACCGAUGGCGAAGGCAGGUCUCUGGGCUGUAACUGACGCUGAGGAGCGAAAGUGUGGGGAGCGAACAGGAUUAGAUACCCUGGUAG
RNAcentral lists this ribosomal RNA (446 nucleotides) under uncultured Arthrobacter sp. RNAcentral's name for it is "bacterial SSU rRNA". It matches the Rfam family "Bacterial small subunit ribosomal RNA", at positions 335 to 793 of the family's 1533-position model. Lineage: Bacteria; Bacillati; Actinomycetota; Actinomycetes; Micrococcales; Micrococcaceae. The record is from RNAcentral.